UACCAGCACCCCGAGUGGUCGGGACGAUUAUUGGGCCUAAAGCAUCCGUAGCCGGUUCUGCAAGUCCUCCGUUAAAUCCAACUGCUUAACAGAUGGGCCGCGGAGGAUACUACAGAGCUAGGAGGCAGGAGAGGCAAGCGGUACUCAGUGGGUAGGGGUAAAAUCCGUUGAUCCAUUGAAGACCACCAGUGGCGAAGGCGGCUUGCCAGAAUGCGCUCGACGGUGAGGGAUGAAAGCUGGGGGAGCAAAC
This 250-nucleotide ribosomal RNA is filed under the name uncultured bacterium. RNAcentral's name for it is "partial 16S ribosomal RNA". It matches the Rfam family "Archaeal small subunit ribosomal RNA", at positions 474 to 724 of the family's 1478-position model. The record is from RNAcentral.